This 260-nucleotide unclassified non-coding RNA is filed under the name uncultured fungus. Its description in RNAcentral is "partial contains 5.8S ribosomal RNA, internal transcribed spacer 2, and large subunit ribosomal RNA". The record is from RNAcentral. Lineage: Eukaryota; Fungi.
AACGCACAUUGCGCCCGCCAGCACUCUGGCGGGCAUGCCUGUCCGAGCGUCAUGUCAACCCUCGGGCCCCCCAGGGGGCCCGGCGUUGGGGACCGGCCUGCCUGGGCCGCCCCCCAAAGGCAGUGGCGACGCCCGCCGCGACCUCCCCUGCGCAGUAAGCACACGCCUCGCACCGGAGCGCCGGCGGGCCAGCGCCGUGAAAACGCACCAGCCCAUCGCUAGUUGACCUCGGAUCAGGUAGGAGUACCCGCUGAACUUAA